GGGCAGGUAGCGAAGUGGUCAAACGCAUCAGACUGUAAAUCUGACGGCUUUACGCCUUCGGAGGUUCGAAUCCUUCCCUGCCCA
RNAcentral lists this transfer RNA (84 nucleotides) under Ignavibacteria bacterium. RNAcentral describes it as "tRNA-Tyr". It matches the Rfam family "tRNA". From Rfam's summary of the family: Transfer RNA (tRNA) molecules are approximately 80 nucleotides in length. Their secondary structure includes four short double-helical elements and three loops (D, anti-codon, and T loops). Lineage: Bacteria; Pseudomonadati; Ignavibacteriota; Ignavibacteria. The record is from RNAcentral.